RNAcentral lists this transfer RNA (65 nucleotides) under Raillietina sp. HL-2022. Its description in RNAcentral is "tRNA-Thr". Lineage: Eukaryota; Metazoa; Platyhelminthes; Cestoda; Cyclophyllidea; Davaineidae. The record is from RNAcentral.
GGUUACUUAGUUUAAGUAAAAUAUAGGUUUUGUAGUCCUAGGAUAAUUUAUUAAGUUAGUGGCCU